Aedes albopictus (Asian tiger mosquito) is the source of this 653-nucleotide long non-coding RNA. RefSeq lists it as uncharacterized. The record is from RefSeq and is a predicted model, not a curated record. The transcript is spliced from 2 exons. NCBI's taxonomy places the organism in Eukaryota, Metazoa, Arthropoda, Insecta, Diptera, Culicidae.
GGUAUUAUCAAGGGGCCUGCAACUCUAAACUCUUACUAAACUAUACUAAUGAUGUAGCAGUAGUAUCCGUAGUAUUCCUAGUAUUUUCCAAUCAAAGCAAGUUGUCAAGCGUCGUUUAUUAUUGUGUUGUUUCAGUCGCUUUACCGACGCAAAAUGGAAGUGAAAACGUUGUUACCCUCGAGCUAGAAUUGGAAGGAAAAAAGACUGGCGAAAAUUCCCUGAUUUGGAUACAAGGCGGGUCGGUUAGAGUUAAUGGAAAAUGUUCGUUUCCUUCGGGAAUUGAUGCAGAGAGUCUAACGAGUGAUCACAAAGCAUCCGAAGGACAACGUAAUGGAGAAUUGUUAUACGGUUCAAUGUGUUCCAACACACUCAUCUGCGAACGGUAAUAGUGGCGGUGGACACAACCAACCGGUGCGGAUUUUGACGUUUCUUGGGAGAAAAUCGAAGCAGUUUCAUUUUCCUCCUCAACCCUUCACCCACCGUUCGUUGGCGCCAACCGAUUGCGAUCCUCUAAAAACGCCAAAAUCUAAUCCGGUAAGCCGGUUGGUUGUGCCCGCAGCCGCUAAUACCGAAACAAAUUUAGAAAAUGUAGCGAAGUAGUUGACGAUGCGUGUUUCAAAUAUGAAAAAUAAUGAAUAAAAUGUAACUAAUUA